RNAcentral lists this ribosomal RNA (380 nucleotides) under uncultured bacterium. RNAcentral describes it as "partial 16S ribosomal RNA". It matches the Rfam family "Bacterial small subunit ribosomal RNA", at positions 338 to 724 of the family's 1533-position model. The record is from RNAcentral.
CCUACGGGAGGCAGCAGUGAGGAAUAUUGGGCAAUGGGUGAAAGCCUGACGCAGCGACGCCGCGUGGAGGAUGAAGGCCUUCGGGUUGUAAACUCCUGUUAGGGGGAAGAAGCCCCGCAAGGGGUUGACGGUACCCUCAGAGGAAGCCCCGGCUAACUACGUGCCAGCAGCCGCGGUAAUACGUAGGGGGCAAGCGUUGUUCGGAUUUACUGGGCGUAAAGAGCGCGUAGGCGGUUUGAUAAGUCAUGGGUGAAAGCCCUAAGCUCAACUGAGGUUACGCCCAUGAAACUGUCUGACUUGAGUUUAGGAGAGGAGAGCGGAAUUCCCAGUGUAGCGGUGAAAUGCGUAGAUAUUGGGAGGAACACCGGUGGCGAAGGCGG